CAAGUCGAACGCGAAAGUUCCCUUCGGGGAGCGAGUAGAGUGGCGCACGGGUGAGUAACACGUAGGUAAUCUACCUUUGGAUUGGGAAUAACAACCGGAAACGGUUGCUAAUACCGAAUAAUGCAGCGGCACCUAAUGGUGACAGUUGUUAAAGCGGGGGAUCGCAAGACCUCGCGUCUAAAGAGGAGCCUGCGGCGGAUUAGCUAGUUGGUAAGGUAAUGGCUUACCAAGGCUAUGAUCCGUAGCCGGCCUGAGAGGGCGGUCGGCCACACUGACACUGACAUACGGGUCAGACUCCUACGGGAGGCAGCAGUCGGGAAUUUUGGGCAAUGGGCGAAAGCCUGACCCAGCAACGCCGCGUGAAGGAUGAAAUCCUUCGGGAUGUAAACUUCGCAAGAACGGGAAGAAUAAGUAAGAGCUAACAUCUCUUAUGAUGACGGUACUGUUUGUAAGCUCCGGCUAACUCCGUGCCAGCAGCCGCGGUAAUACGGGGGGAGCAAGCGUUGUUCGGAUUUACUGGGCGUAAAGGGCGCGUAGGCGGCCACCGCAAGUCGAUUGUGAAAUCUCCGGGCUUAACCCGGAAAGGUCAACCGAUACUGCGGGGCUAGAGUGCAGAAGGGGCAACUGGAAUUCUCGGUGUAGCGGUGAAAUGCGUAGAUAUCGAGAGGAACACCUGCGGCGAAGGCGGGUUGCUGGGCUGACACUGACGCUGAAGUGCGAAAGCUAGGGGAGCGAACGGGAUUAGAUACCCCGGUAGUCCUAGCCUUAAACGAUGAAUGCUUGGUGUC
Molecule: ribosomal RNA, 788 nt
Filed under: uncultured Pseudomonadota bacterium
Lineage: Bacteria; Pseudomonadati; Pseudomonadota
Description: bacterial SSU rRNA
Rfam family: Bacterial small subunit ribosomal RNA
Source: RNAcentral